AUUGAACGCUGGCGGCAUGCCUUACACAUGCAAGUCGAACGGCAGCACGGGUGCUUGCCGCUGGUGGCGAGUGGCGAACGGGUGAGUAAUACAUCGGAACAUGUCCUUUAGUGGGGGAUAGCCCGGCGAAAGCCGGAUUAAUACCGCAUACGAUCUACGGCUGAAAGCGGGGGACCUUCGUGCCUCGCCCUAUAGGGUUGGCCGAUGGCUGAUUAGCUAGUUGGUGGGGUAAAGGCCUACCAAGGCGACGAUCAGUAGCUGGUCUGAGAGGACGACCAGCCACACUGGGACUGAGACACGGCCCAGACUCCUACGGGAGGCAGCAGUGGGGAAUAUUGGACAAUGGGCGAAAGCCUGAUCCAGCAAUGCCGCGUGUGUGAAGAAGGCCUUCGGGUUGUAAAGCACUUUUGUCCGGAAAGAAAUCCUUGGCUCUAAUACAGUCGGGGGAUGACGGUACCGGAAGAAUAAGCACCGGCUAACUACGUG
This 486-nucleotide ribosomal RNA is filed under the name uncultured bacterium. RNAcentral's name for it is "partial 16S ribosomal RNA". It matches the Rfam family "Bacterial small subunit ribosomal RNA", at positions 30 to 507 of the family's 1533-position model. The record is from RNAcentral.